UCCAAGGAAGGCAGCAGGCGCGCAAAUUACCCCAAUCCCGACACGAGGAGGUAGUGACAAUAAAUAACAAUAUAGGGCUCUUUCGGGUCUUAUAAUUGGAAUGAGUACAAUUUAAAUCCCUUAACGAGGAACAAUUGGAGGGCAAGUCUGGUGCCAGCAGCCGCGGUAAUUCCAGCUCCAAUAGCGUAUAUUAAAGUUGUUGCAGUUAAAAAGCUCGUAGUUGAACUUCAGACCUGGCCGGGCGGUCUGCCUAACGGUAUGUACUGUCUGGCUGGGUCUUACUUCUUGGUGAGCCGGCAUGCCCUUCACUGGGUGUGUCGGGGAACCAGGACUUUUACCUUGAGAAAAUUAGAGUGUUCAAAGCAGGCCUAUGCCCGAAUACAUUAGCAUGGAAUAAUAAAAUAGGACGUGCGGUUCUAUUUUGUUGGUUUCUAGAGUCGCCGUAAUGAUUAAUAGGGAUAGUUGGGGGCAUUAGUAUUCAGUUGCUAGAGGUGAAAUUCUUGGAUUUACUGAAGACUAACUACUGCGAAAGCAUUUGCCAAGGAUGUUUUCAUUAAUCAAGAACGAAAGUUGGGGGCUCGAAGACGAUCAGAUACCGUCCUAGUCUCAACCAUAAACGAUGCCGACCAGGGAUCAGCGGAUGUUGCUUACAGGACUCCGCUGGCACCUUAUGAGAAAUCAAAGUUUUUGGGUUCCGGGGGGAGUAUGGUCGCAAGGCUGAAACUUAAAGGAAUUGACGGAAGGGCACCACCAGGAGUGGAGCCUGCGGCUUAAUUUGACUCAACACGGGGAAACUUACCAGGUCCAGACAUAGUAAGGAUUGACAGACUGAGAGCUCUUUCUUGAUUCUAUGGGUGGUGGUGCAUGGCCGUUCUUAGUUGGUGGAGCGAUUUGUCUGGUUAAUUCCGAUAACGAACGAGACC
RNAcentral lists this ribosomal RNA (923 nucleotides) under uncultured fungus. RNAcentral describes it as "SSU rRNA". It matches the Rfam family "Eukaryotic small subunit ribosomal RNA", at positions 415 to 1342 of the family's 1831-position model. Lineage: Eukaryota; Fungi. The record is from RNAcentral.